GAGGAUACCAGGGUUACACAGAGGUCUU
Molecule: non-coding RNA, 28 nt
Filed under: Rattus norvegicus (Norway rat)
Lineage: Eukaryota; Metazoa; Chordata; Mammalia; Rodentia; Muridae
Source: RNAcentral